AUUGAACGCUAGCGGCAGGCCUAACACAUGCAAGUCGAGCGGAAACGAUGGGAGCUUGCUCCCAGGCGUCGAGCGGCGGACGGGUGAGUAACGCGUAGGAAUCUGCCCAGUAGUGGGGGAUAACUCGGGGAAACUCGAGCUAAUACCGCAUACGCCCUACGGGGGAAAGGGGGGGAUCUUCGGACCUCUCGCUAUUGGAUGAGCCUGCGUCGGAUUAGCUUGUUGGUGGGGUAACGGCUCACCAAGGCGACGAUCCGUAACUGGCCUGAGAGGGUGGCCAGUCACACUGGGACUGAGACACGGCCCAGACUCCUACGGGAGGCAGCAGUGGGGAAUAUUGGACAAUGGGGGCAACCCUGAUCCAGCCAUGCCGCGUGUGUGAAGAAGGCCUUCGGGUUGUAAAGCACUUUAAGUCAGGAGGAAGGCCUGAUAAUUAAUACUUAUCAGGAUUGACGUUACUGACAGAAUAAGCACCGG
RNAcentral lists this ribosomal RNA (477 nucleotides) under uncultured bacterium. Its description in RNAcentral is "bacterial SSU rRNA". It matches the Rfam family "Bacterial small subunit ribosomal RNA", at positions 30 to 496 of the family's 1533-position model. The record is from RNAcentral.